CGAAAGAAAGGCGACGCUGAACGCCAUCCUGGGGUCCCGCCGAAGCGUCCUGCUCUGAACAGGUUCAGGCAAGCCCUGGUUCCCUGAUAACCAGGGAUGCCUCCUCAGGCCUGCUUCUGGAUGCGAGAACCACGGAGGGUGGCAGGGACUUGUACUAAAUCGCCGCAUUGUUUCUUCAGCAUGCCUGCAUACACUCCAGUUUUAUGAAUCGGAUCUUGCGUGGAGCCCUAGCUGCCCUGAAAUUUGCUAUGUGAGCCAGGCUGGCCUUGAGUCUGCAGCAGCGCCUCCUCUUGGCUCUGCCCCCAAGCACUAGGACUGCAGCAGGAGUGCGUGGCUGUGUCUGGACACAUUUGGAAUUUGUACUUUAGAUGAUAUCACAACAGCACCUAAAAUCAAGUUAUAUAUGUUUCAAGAGUUCAAAGAUUUAAAAUUCAAAAAGAGAAUAUAGGUGGUUUUGACAUAAUUGCAGUUUGAAAAUGACAAAUCAUAAAGGUUUUAUAGACUACGACUUCCCAUAAGUAGGCAAAUAUUCACUGCCAUCACCUACACAUUUUAAAAAAUCUGACACAUUCCUACAGAAGCUUGUACACACAAUAUUUACUAUCACUGUGUUUCAAAUCAUAGCUAAUAGUGCUCUAAAAAAAGUCAGGAUAGAAUUUAAACGUGGAUGCAGCAGAUCCUCUGCCACUGUCAGGCACCGGGAAACAAGGUAGCAGGGUAGGUAUCUCUUGUUAGACACUCCAGUUAACUCUGACAGCACACUCCUCUAGGCCCAGCACUUGAGAGGCGAGGGCAGGAGACUCAGGAGUUCAAGGUCAUCCAUCCUUGGCUACAUUGUUGAGUUUACACAGCAGCUUGAGGCGCGUGAGACUGUCUCAAACAAACAAGCAGAUUGCUAAAAACUCGGCAGAACCUGCUUUUAUGUACUUUUAUAUAUUCUUCAUUUUUUUUUCAAUCAGAUGAUUCCUUUCAGGGUUGCUUAGAUCAGGGUUAUAAUACAUAGCUGACAGUCCUCUGUAGAAUGAAUAAAAUCUGUUCACUUUAGAGAUGAAAAUUAUAAAACUUUUUUAUAAAUUAUGUUAUUAAAAUGAACAUAUUUAUUAAAAGUGUAAGUGAAAAAUAUUUAAUCAUUUUAGGGCAGUCAAAACACAAUAUAUGAUUGGUAUCUUGGUGGUUGAAAGUAAUCACUUUACCACAUGCUUUGUAAACAUUUGUACCAUUCAUUUAGAGUUGAUAGUCAAUUUAAAACUGAGCUUUAAUCAAAGUUAUUUUCAAACAUUGUCAUAAUGUCACUUUGAAGAGUCAUAUCAAUGGUACCCGCCAUCUGUAAAAAAGAGAAGAUUCUCAUUAAUUAAGAUGCAUGCUUUUAUUACAGUUUUAUAUAGAUAUACAUUUGGAAAAAUUUCAUGCAAAAUAUAAAUGACUACCUUGCUGACCAUAUAUAUAAUUUUAGAUUAAACACAUACGUGGUUUCUUUAAAUAGACUAUACAUAUAAUAAAAUGCCACAAGGACAUUUAAGUUUAAUUCUCCAAUGAAGAAGAGAAUCUCAGUGAGAAUGCAAGCUGGAUGCAGUGUUUCCUUGUCCCUGGGACCAUCACAGCACCAGGCACAGGGAGUCGUCUUAACCACACUGGAAAGACGGCUCAGUAGUUAAGUGAGCCAGACAAAAGACUGCCUUCAAUUCCCAGCACCCAUGUCAGGUGGCCCACAACUACCUGUAACUCUAACCAGGCUAACUUACUCCUCUGGCCUCAAUGGGUGUGAGCAUGCCACACACUGACACACACACACACACACACACACACACACACACACACACACACACACACUUUUGAAAGUUUAGUCUUAGCAAUGCAAUAUACAAUCCCUGUGUGAGAAAAUGCUAGCUUACAGUGUAAAGCUAUGGGCUUUCAUUGAUUCUGACACUGACUAGUAACUGUUUGUUUAUGAGAAUGGGAUCAAAGCACAGGGCAGUGUGAGGGAGAGUGUUCAUUUGCAUAUUAGCAAUCUUUAAGAAAUGAGCUAAAAGAGCAGAAAAUGCUAAGUCAAACAAAAGAAGCAUGGUCACGACAUUCUUUUGUCAAGCAAAGUCGGAAGUUAUUAUGAAAAGGGUUUUGUAUAAACUGCAUUCUAAGAGGAAAUGAGUGACACGUGAGGGGACAGGGGAAUGCUCUAGUAGGCAUUCGUUUCCAGGGGAGUCCUUUAAGAGUUUUCUAAAUGCUUCUUGCCAUGUGAAGUAAUAGCAAGCAUUAAAAUAUAAAAGGGCUCCACCCACUCCCCACAGCAGAUCAGUGAGAUGCAAAAGCUCUGGUCUGUGGCCAGUUGGUUGGCUUCUUGGAUGUGAACUGGCAGUUUCAUUAGUUGUGUAGGAAAGGAUUUAGAGCUAUGGCCUACCUACCAAAAGGAUAAUAAAAGGCUUAUUUCUCCAACAUCACAAAGAGGGGUGGGGCAUGUCUGACUCUAACAGACUGUAAGAACUCCUUAAAGUUUGCCUUAGAGAUCAACAAACAACAACAAAACUUAAAUCAGGACAUUUUGAAUGCUCAGCCUCCUAAGAUGGCAAUUAUCUAGCCGGAGUAGUUCUUUGAAGCUUAUUUUUGACUGCCGCGUAAGAGCUGGAAAAGUUCCUGUCUAAGUAUCAUGCAGUGCUGCUCUAUAGCAGGCACACUGGAAAACUGGAAGAAAAUCUAAUGAAACCUUUUUUACAUUUAAGUAAAAAUGAAAAUCUUUAUUUUGAAGGUUGCAUGUAGAAUCUUAUUUUAGAUUCACAUAUAUCUUAGCUAAAGUCAGUUCACUUUCAGAGACUCUUCACCAAUCAACAUUAGGGAUCAUGACUUAAAAUACCACUUGACUUUGCAGCAGGUACGGCAGGCUGGGUAUUCCUUUCUCUGUGGUCCCAAUCACAGAUGGAGGACUCCACGGCUGAUGAAGGAGACUGCGUGACGUGGACUCUGAGUGCUGCUACAGGCUCUGGGCUAGUCAAGCUCCUGAAAGGUGCUCAGGGUAUCAGGAAUGACAUCAGGCUGGGAGGGGUUGCUAGGGGGCGCUAGACUUUUGUGAAAGUACUGGAAGAUGACUAAAAUCAGGUACUUGUGAGUGUCAACAAGAGGAUUCAUGAGUUUUUAAGAAAGCAAUAAACAAUCCUCUAAAUGUUUGAAACUGAUAAUAGAACAUGCCUAUCACAGUAGGAACUUGUACAAAAGCAGGGUUGUAUAGUAAACUCUGGGACAGAGGAUGUAGCUCAGUGCUAGAUGCUGUUCAAUAAAACAAAAUCUGUGUAACACUGCCAUUCAUUUCUGCCUCUGAUCCCAGUAUUCAAGAAGCUGUGGCAGGCGAGAUUUCAUCUCACCACAAUCAGAAUGGUAAUCAGCAAGAAAACAAAAAGCAACAAAUGCUCUCAAGGAUAUAGGGAGACCUAAAGAAUGCCAGGAAUGUAAAUUAGUAUAGACAUUAUGGAAAUCAGUCUGGGUGUUCUUCAAAAAAUAAACUAAAAAUAUACAGCUCUACCAUUCCUGGGCAUAUACCCAAAGGAAUCAGAGUCCCCAUAGAAAUAAAGAAACCUGAACAUCUACAUGUACUGUGACACCAUUCCCAAUAGUUAAGCACACAUCAACAGAUGAAUGUAUAAAUAAAAGAUAUGUCUGUAUCUCUAA
Molecule: long non-coding RNA, 3654 nt
Organism: Mesocricetus auratus (golden hamster)
Lineage: Eukaryota; Metazoa; Chordata; Mammalia; Rodentia; Cricetidae
Exons: 2
Source: RefSeq, a predicted model, not a curated record